GAUGAACGCUGGCGGCGUGCCUAAUACAUGCAAGUCGAGCAAACGGACGAGAAGCUUGCUUCUCUGAUGUUAGCGGCGGACGGGUGAGUAACACGUGGAUAACCUACCUAUAAGACUGGGAUAACUUCGGGAAACCGGAGCUAAUGCCGGAUAAUAUUUUGAACCGCAUGGUUCAAAAGUGAAAGACGGUCUUGCUGUCACUUAUAGAUGGAUCCGCGCUGCAUUAGCUAGUUGGUAAGGUAACGGCUUACCAAGGCAACGAUGCAUAGCCGACCUGAGAGGGUGAUCGGCCACACUGGAACUGAGACACGGUCCAGACUCCUACGGGAGGCAGCAGUAGGGAAUCUUCCGCAAAGGGCGAAAGCCUGACGGAGCAACGCCGCGUGAGUGAUGAAGGUCUUCGGAUCGUAAAACUCUGUUAUUAGGGAAGAACAUAUGUGUAAGUAACUGUGCACAUCUUGACGGUACCUAAUCAGAAAGCCACGGCUAACUACGUG
Molecule: ribosomal RNA, 497 nt
Filed under: uncultured bacterium
Lineage: Bacteria
Description: partial 16S ribosomal RNA
Rfam family: Bacterial small subunit ribosomal RNA
Source: RNAcentral